This 749-nucleotide long non-coding RNA is filed under the name Daphnia magna. Its description in RNAcentral is "uncharacterized LOC116915573, transcript variant X2". Lineage: Eukaryota; Metazoa; Arthropoda; Branchiopoda; Diplostraca; Daphniidae. The record is from RNAcentral.
UAUUUAUUCUAUAACGUCUUUUAACUUGUUUAGUAUUCCGUCAUUGUGUGUGCAACUGUGCAUUGAAAGGAUAACACUUCAUGCAUGUUACCUUUUGAGAACUAUGGGACCUUCAUCUUCAAAUGCCUUCAUCUGUUUCCUGUCUGUGGUGCAAUGUAGGCUAUGCUGUGGUCUUCGUCACCUCACUCCUUUAGCCAACCAACAUGCAUGGAUUCUAAUGCCAUCAUCUGGUCAUGAAUAGCAAAAUGUUCAUCUUUGUUUCUUUUGCAAAUUUUCCAUCUGAAAUCAAUCGUGCAGUCUGGGCUCGCUUAUGGAAUUAUUAAGCUAGGUAGCGUCCAUCUAAACUGAUAGAGGGCACCGGCGGCAUCCCGGAUUAAGGACCCGAAAAAAAUCCAUGUUCGCUGGCUUACAUUAUCGUAGAACGCCGUGAUUGUUGUGUCUGGAUUGUACCAAACUUACCACAUCACCAAACCCAAGAGUGUACAUGAUGAAGAACUGGCAAGUCUUUUUGGGACCAGUUGUUGAAUCUGUGAAAGGUCUUCAUUCAGAAAAUUUACGUGGAUGGAGAUGUGGCAUUUUUAAGAAAGUAGUUUCUCGUCACCACUGUUUGCUGUUUCGUCCCGAAGAUAAAAGUUUAAAAUUUUUAUAAAUUAAAGUGUAUAUCUGGGCUCCCUUCUUUUCUGUGGCCCCGUUUCCCCUUGACUUAUGAUAAGCCCGUAGGGGGUCAUGCCCCUACUGUGAUCAGCAGC